RNAcentral lists this long non-coding RNA (265 nucleotides) under Lathyrus oleraceus (garden pea). RNAcentral's name for it is "Pisum sativum (pea) long non-coding RNA (PSAT_LNC030701)". Lineage: Eukaryota; Viridiplantae; Streptophyta; Magnoliopsida; Fabales; Fabaceae. The record is from RNAcentral.
UUUGGAUCAACGUGACUAAUUAUUUAAAAAAUAAAUAAAAUUAACGAACCAGACUGAGACACGUGGCACUGGGUUAAACAAAAGAACCACAUGUGACAUGUAGAGAAAUAAGGAGAAAAAAAUAACAGUUUAGCAACCCAUUUAUUGGUCAUUUAUCAGUCACAUUGAAGUAUUCAAACAUUAAAAUAAUGAUGAUAUAAAUGACAUUGAAAAAAAGGAAGAAAAAAAAAACAAAUCAGUCAGCACAUCACUCCCUAUCUGUUUC